This 472-nucleotide ribosomal RNA is filed under the name uncultured bacterium. Its description in RNAcentral is "SSU rRNA". It matches the Rfam family "Bacterial small subunit ribosomal RNA", at positions 26 to 518 of the family's 1533-position model. The record is from RNAcentral.
AGGACGAACGCUGGCGGCGUGCUUAACACAUGCAAGUCGAGCGGAAAGGCCCUUCGGGGUACUCGAGCGGCGAACGGGUGAGUAACACGUGAGCAACCUGCCCUUAGCUUCGGGAUAGCUCCGGGAAACCGGAAUUAAUACCGGAUAUGACUAUGGCCGACAUCAGCCAUGGUGGAAAGUUUUUCGGCUAGGGAUGGACUCGCGGCCUAUCAGCUAGUUGGUGAGGUAACGGCUCACCAAGGCGACGACGGGUAGCCGGCCUGAGAGGGCGACCGGCCACACUGGGACUGAGACACGGCCCAGACUCCUACGGGAGGCAGCAGUGGGGAAUAUUGCGCAAUGGGCGAAAGCCUGACGCAGCGACGCCGCGUGGGGAUGAAUGCCUUCGGGUUGUAAACCCCUUCAGCAGGGACGAAGCGAAAGUGACGGUACCUGCAGAAGAAGCGCCGGCUAACUACGUGCCAGCAGCCGC